GCCAUCAGCUGGACCAAAUGCCUCCCCGAGACAUUCGUAUCUCCCGAGCUUCUGUUUAGGCAUCCGGGCACUGUUACCAGGACAAAGGCAUCGAUCUCGGCUGAGAGAACGCUGAGAUGUAUUGACAGAGAGGUUUGCAUCGAUCCAGCAGGAAGUAAGGUCGGUGGCCUCCUGGGCAGGUGCGCAAACCAACCCCUCGCCUAAGGCAGGGUCAGGAUCCACUCCUCCUGGCCUCAGUCAGUGGCCUGGCCCCCACUGUCCACGCUUGAGGUUAUUCCAGCCAGCAAGGCAGGGAGGCCAGUGAACCAGUGAAAAAGCCCUGGUCUUGGGGGCCCAGGAGCCCAGGUCACGGG
Molecule: long non-coding RNA, 353 nt
Filed under: Bos indicus x Bos taurus (hybrid cattle)
Lineage: Eukaryota; Metazoa; Chordata; Mammalia; Artiodactyla; Bovidae
Description: lncRNA (ENSBIXG00000011285.1)
Source: RNAcentral